This 77-nucleotide transfer RNA is filed under the name Alphaproteobacteria bacterium. RNAcentral describes it as "tRNA-Val". It matches the Rfam family "tRNA". Rfam says of the family: Transfer RNA (tRNA) molecules are approximately 80 nucleotides in length. Their secondary structure includes four short double-helical elements and three loops (D, anti-codon, and T loops). Lineage: Bacteria; Pseudomonadati; Pseudomonadota; Alphaproteobacteria. RNAcentral also lists the same sequence under 1 other name. The record is from RNAcentral.
GGAUGUGUAGCUCAGCUGGUUAGAGCGCUACGUUCACAUCGUAGAGGUCAACGGUUCGAGUCCGUUCACAUCCACCA